GCUGGUAGACGCGCAUGCGCAAAUGCGCGCAUUUGUUUACAUAAUAUUAUCAAAGAUGACUCAUUUAUUGCCUAUUUUGAACGGAUGUUCCCACGCCGCCCUCAUCCAAAUCAAUGUUGCAACCACGUGACUCGCAAUCAGAUGCUCUCGAUUCCCAAUUCCCACUAUGGGGAAAACAAACUUUUGUAUUUUAAUACUUUGUUUUGGCAACUAUAAAUACCCUUAUUUUUCAUUAAUUACAUAAAUAAAAUUUUUGGUAAAAUAGCCCUUUUUAAAAUAACCAUGGCAACAAAGAAACAGUUUUUUGCAUUUAGGGAAUGAAUGACUUCGAAAGAGACUGACCCAUGACGUCAUUUCAUACGUAACGAUAGAAAUCCUACUUUUUAUUACUGGUAGCUACCACCGCUGGAAAUCCAUGUUAAAUCAUGAAGUCGAAACAAGGCAAAGCCGCAGUCAACCUCGGGCUCAAGCAUCAUCCAAUCGUUCGCAGACAACACUCUGACAGACAUUUCUUCAUAAGUUAGCAGGAAUAAAAGAUCGAUGCGACCAAGCGAUUUACAGGCUGGUCCUGCUGGAAUGCCUCAAGCUGGCCUUCAAGAAACCCACAUGUGUUGAUGGCAACAUGACAGCGACCAAAGAGAGUGAAAAGAUUGCGGUACGUAGCUGCAACCCGUUCUGCUUCCCUGAUGAGUGGCUCACUGUCUGGACACAGCUGUUUCAUUGUAUCAGCUACUCUUGUCAUUCUUGGAGAAGUUGGACCGGUUGAGAAGCAGCUUCCUCAGGAUAAAGGAGAAUGAAGCAUGAUAGCUGCUCCAUCAAAUCCUUGCGCUCCUCUUCCUUCUCUGCCAGCAUAGCCUCCAGUCGAUGUCGCUCCACCAUGUUGAUCAUGUUCUUCGAUAGGUUGCUUGGGGCGUCCUGGGGAGCGAGGUACGCCACAGUCUGGAUGUCUAGCUGGUGGCAUGCCUUCUCCAUACUGUUAAAGUGCUUCAAAAACAACCCGAGACUGAUGUGUAGGCCAGGGGGGCAUACCUGCAAGAAAAGAAAGAGAUUUUAGAAAGCCUCUGCCUGCAGGAUACUAUCAAUCAUUAUCUUCAAAUAUAUAAGCUUAGCCGAAGCAUGGACCUCAUGUUGACCAUGUCUAUGUCGUUGAUUUUGACGCUGGAGGAUGGGUCAUCCAGAGCCCCUGCCUUGUGAGCCCUGGAGACUUCGUGCCUAAACUGGACGUCUGGUGAGUGGGAGAUCUCAUCCCGGAUGGCAGCAAGUUGCAUGCUUCUUCUCCGCCUUGUUGAUGGAGUGCUGUCUGCAGAGCUUAUUCUGGGCUUAGUUAUCAGUUUCGUAACCAGGGGCUUUUCAUAUGUGAAGAAAUGCAGGAAAAAAAGUUAAAAUGAUUAUCUUAAUAUUAUAGUACAACAUUUGUUGUAGAGAUCAUGACCCAGUUUUCAUGAUGGGGAACAAAUAGAACAGGAAAGUUUUGGAAGGGGUAUUCCACAUGGCACAAAAACAAAAUAUGAAAUGAAAUCAUUUAAAUGUCGACAAAGAUCAGCAAAUUAUUUUUUCCCCUUCAUGAUAUCAACUAAAUUAGAGCAAGACUUGAUUAAAAUGAUAUAUUACGAGUAUAAUUUCUGUACUGCCAUGUAUUGUGUUCUUUAAUCUUAAAUACAGUUCCCUUUGUGAGAAGUUGUCCCUUUAACCUUAUAUUAUAAUUGCAUUUGACCAUAGGACAAAUUUAGUAGCUUAACAAUUUAUCCUUACAGGACAGUUGUGAAACUUACCAUGUUUAUAUAACCUUUGUUAACUGUGAAAGUUUAACAUGAUGGCAAACCUGCAUAAAAAUUUAAUACAGUUCAUUUGAUGAUUAGCUCCCUUAAAUCUAUUCAUUUUUGUUUUAUCUUGGAUACAUGUAAUGUUAAUACCAGCAGAUUGUAAGUAUGAAAGAUAUUUGAAAAAAAAAGGAAAAAAA
This 1960-nucleotide long non-coding RNA is filed under the name Strongylocentrotus purpuratus (purple sea urchin). RNAcentral's name for it is "uncharacterized LOC105439620, transcript variant X1". The record is from RNAcentral. Lineage: Eukaryota; Metazoa; Echinodermata; Echinoidea; Camarodonta; Strongylocentrotidae.